ACUCCUACGGGAGGCAGCAGUGGGGAAUAUUGGACAAUGGGCGCAAGCCUGAUCCAGCCAUGCCGCGUGAGUGAUGAAGGCCCUAGGGUUGUAAAGCUCUUUCACCGGUGAAGAUAAUGACGGUAACCGGAGAAGAAGCCCCGGCUAACUUCGUGCCAGCAGCCGCGGUAAUACGAAGGGGGCUAGCGUUGUUCGGAUUUACUGGGCGUAAAGCGCACGUAGGCGGACGAUUAAGUCAGGGGUGAAAUCCCGGGGCUCAACCCCGGAACUGCCUUUGAUACUGGUAGUCUUGAGUUCGAGAGAGGUGAGUGGAAUUCCGAGUGUAGAGGUGAAAUUCGUAGAUAUUCGGAGGAACACCAGUGGCGAAGGCGGCUCACUGGCUCGAUACUGACGCUGAGGUGCGAAAGCGUGGGGAGCAAACAGGAUUAGAAACCCCUGUAGUCCCAU
This 447-nucleotide ribosomal RNA is filed under the name uncultured organism. RNAcentral describes it as "partial 16S ribosomal RNA". It matches the Rfam family "Bacterial small subunit ribosomal RNA", at positions 335 to 798 of the family's 1533-position model. The record is from RNAcentral.